AUUGAACGCUGGCGGCAUGCCUUACACAUGCAAGUCGAACGGCAGCACGGGUGCUUGCACCUGGUGGCGAGUGGUGAACGGGUGAGUAAUACAUCGGAACAUGUCCUGUAGUGGGGGAUAGCCCGGCGAAAGCCGGAUUAAUACCGCAUACGAUCUACGGAUGAAAGCGGGGGACCUUCGGGCCUCGCGCUAUCGGGUUGGCCGAUGGCUGAUUAGCUAGUUGGUGGGGUAAAGGCCUACCAAGGCGACGAUCAGUAGCUGGUCUGAGAGGACGACCAGCCACACUGGGACUGAGACACGGCCCAGACUCCUACGGGAGGCAGCAGUGGGGAAUUUUGGACAAUGGGCGAAAGCCUGAUCCAGCAAUGCCGCGUGUGUGAAGAAGGCCUUCGGGUUGUAAAGCACUUUUGUCCGGAAAGAAAUCCUUGGCCCUAAUACGGUCGGGGGAUGACGGUACCGGAAGAAUAAGCACCGGCUAACUACGUG
This 486-nucleotide ribosomal RNA is filed under the name uncultured bacterium. Its description in RNAcentral is "partial 16S ribosomal RNA". It matches the Rfam family "Bacterial small subunit ribosomal RNA", at positions 30 to 507 of the family's 1533-position model. The record is from RNAcentral.